Molecule: ribosomal RNA, 758 nt
Filed under: uncultured bacterium
Lineage: Bacteria
Description: bacterial SSU rRNA
Rfam family: Bacterial small subunit ribosomal RNA
Source: RNAcentral
GAUGAACGCUAGCUACAGGCUUAACACAUGCAAGUCGAGGGGCAGCAUGGGGAUGGCUUGCCAUUCCCGAUGGCGACCGGCGCACGGGUGAGUAACGCGUAUCCAACCUGCCCGCAACCGCGGAAUAGCCCGCCGAAAGGCGGAUUAAUGCCGCAUGAGCUCGCGUGAGGGCAUCAACCCGCGAGCAAAGGUUCGUUCCGGUUGCGGAUGGGGAUGCGUCCGAUUAGGCAGCAGGCGGGGCAACGGCCCACCUGGCCCGCGAUCGGUAGGGGUUCUGAGAGGAAGGUCCCCCACAUUGGAACUGAGACACGGUCCAAACUCCUACGGGAGGCAGCAGUGAGGAAUAUUGGUCAAUGGGCGCGAGCCUGAACCAGCCAAGUAGCGUGGGGGAUGACUGCCCUAUGGGUUGUAAACCCCUUUUGCGCGGGGAUAAACCGGCGGACGCGUCCGCCGCUGCAGGUACCGCGCGAAUAAGGACCGGCUAAUUCCGUGCCAGCAGCCGCGGUAAUACGGAAGGUCCGGGCGUUAUCCGGAUUUAUUGGGUUUAAAGGGAGCGUAGGCGGGAGGCUAAGCGUGCUGUGAAAUCCGGCGGCUCAACCGUCGCGAGCAGCGCGAACUGGCUUUCUUGAGUGCGCGGGAGGCAGGCGGAAUUCGUGGUGUAGCGGUGAAAUGCUUAGAUAUCACGAAGAACCCCGAUUGCGAAGGCAGCCUGCCGUAGCGUUACUGACGCUGAAGCUCGAAGGUGCGGGUAUCGAACA